RNAcentral lists this long non-coding RNA (1245 nucleotides) under Anas platyrhynchos (mallard). Its description in RNAcentral is "lncRNA (ENSAPLG00020015736.1)". The record is from RNAcentral. Lineage: Eukaryota; Metazoa; Chordata; Aves; Anseriformes; Anatidae.
AUGCAACACCCCGCUCCGCCAAAUCCUCGGGACUACAGCGGCAUUUUAAACUAUUGUUUGUUGUUGUUGUUUUUUGGUCUCGCCUGAAAAUUGAAAAUAUUCAUCCCCGAGCCUGUAACUUUUUAAGUAUUAGGUCCGGUGUUAAGCUGACCGCACGUUUCAGAGGACGGGGUGCUUCUUGCAUGGCAGGCACCCCUUGGUGGUACCACCGGGCGAUCGAGGGCACUUCCCGAGUCCCGGGGGCACGGAGAGGGGCUGCCGCUGCCUCCCCGCACAGGGGCUCUCGGUAAGCAGCACCCCCCGGCCCGAGUGACACCGCGAUGGAGGCAGGAGUGCGCGGCACCGGCGCUGGGGAUGGCAGGAGGUAACCUACACAUGGCUCCCGGCGAAGCUCCGUGGGAGGAGGGCUCCCGGCAGGGAUGGGGACGGGGUCUCGCUGCGCACCCCCUCCUUGUCCCCGGGAGCCCGCCGCCCCCCAAACCCCCUCCCAGCUCCCAGGAGCGGGGCGGGGGGCGCGGCGCUGCCUGACGCCGGCUUGGUCGGGGGCGGGACCGCCGGGACCGCGCUGCUCCCUCCCGCCCGCCCCCGUCCCCAUCGCCGUCCCCGUCCCCGCCGCCGGGUCCCGGGCCCCAUCUCCGCCCCCGCGCUGUCCCCGCCGGGCCCGGCGCUGCGGGGGCCGCCCCGGCCGCGGCAUGGCCGGCGCGCUGGGCAGGGGGGCGGCGGGCUGGCGGCUGCGGAGCGCGGCGGGCGGCAGGAAGGAGAAGCCGCCGGGCGGCAAGCCCCAGCCGCCACCGCACGAAAAUAUGAAGAAGCCCUGGAGCCCUGACUUACCAGCUGAUAACCACUUGUAUAAUUCAGAUUUCGCAUCCAUCCCAGGCAGAGAAAGUGAGAAAGAAUUAGCACCUGAUGGCACUGAAGAAAAGAAGGAGAGAGAAAAGAAACAGACCAAUUUCACUUUGUGCAGUGUUUGUAACAUUCAGCUGAACUCUGCUGCUCAGGCACAAAUCCACUACAAUGGCAAAUCCCAUCAGAAGAGGUUAAAACAGCUCAGCAAUGGAAAUCUCAAAAGUGAUAAUGGACACAUGAAUCUUCUGCUAUGCACAGGUUUCAACAUAUGGCUUUCCUCAGUAAUUCUGCAGAUGCUCCUAAGGUUUAGAAUUUAUUAUAUCUUCAUCUCUGGAGUUGAUAGCUUUCUUCUUCAUUUUUUUAAUUUUUGUUUUUAAUUGAUUACAGAGAAUCCAGCAA